AAACCCUUCAUAUUUUGAUCGAAGAAAUUCUGCAUAUAGCUCUGCAAAUUCUAAUUUUCCUAUAUUACAACAAAGAAAUAGAACUUUAAUUAAUUCAAAAAUUCCUCGAGAUGAAUCAUCAUCUAAAACUCCGAAUAUUGGUUCUUUUGUACAUUUAGAAGAUAUUCCUGAAAAUCAUCCAUUAUACAAACAACUGCAAUCUUAUCUAUCAGAUCAACAAAAAACUGCAG
Molecule: long non-coding RNA, 230 nt
Filed under: Capsicum annuum
Lineage: Eukaryota; Viridiplantae; Streptophyta; Magnoliopsida; Solanales; Solanaceae
Description: long non-coding RNA (CANN_LNC016868)
Source: RNAcentral